This 480-nucleotide ribosomal RNA is filed under the name uncultured Streptococcus sp. RNAcentral describes it as "bacterial SSU rRNA". It matches the Rfam family "Bacterial small subunit ribosomal RNA", at positions 900 to 1382 of the family's 1533-position model. Lineage: Bacteria; Bacillati; Bacillota; Bacilli; Lactobacillales; Streptococcaceae. The record is from RNAcentral.
CUUAAAGGAAUUGACGGGGCCGCACAAGCGGUGGAGCAUGUGGUUUAAUUCGACGCAACGCGAAGAACCUUACCAGGGCUUGACAUCCCCUGACCGCGUAUGAAAGUACGUUUUCACCCUCGGGUGACAGGGAGACAGGUGGUGCAUGGUUGUCAUCAGCUCGUGUCGUGAGAUGUUGGGUUAAGUCCCGCAACGAGCGCAACCCCUAUUGUUAGUUGCCAUCAUUCAGUUGGGCACUCUAGCGAGACUGCCGGUAAUAAACCGGAGGAAGGUGGGAUGACGUCAAAUCAUCAUGCCCCUUAUGACCUGGGCUACACACGUGCUACAAUGGUUGGUACAACGAGUUGCGAGUCGGUGACGGCGAGCUAAUCUCUUAAAGCCAAUCUCAGUUCGGAUUGUAGGCUGCAACUCGCCUACAUGAAGUCGGAAUCGCUAGUAAUCGCGGAUCAGCACGCCGCGGUGAAUACGUUCCCGGGCCUU